CUUGAACGCUGGCGGCAGGCCUAACACAUGCAAGUCGAACGAGUGGCGGACGGGUGAGUAAUGUCUGGGAAACUGCCCGAUGGAGGGGGAUAACUACUGGAAACGGUAGCUAAUACCGCGUACCAUCGGAUGUGCCCAGAUGGGAUGAGCUUGUAGGUGAGGUAACGGCUCACCUAGGCGACGAUCCCUAGCUGGUCUGAGAGGAUGACCAGAAAGUCUGGAACUGAGACACGGUGCAGACGCCUAAGGGAGGAAGCAGUGGGGAAUAGUGCAUAAUGGGCGAAAGCCUGAUGCAGCCAGGCCGCGGGGAGGAAGAAGGCCUUCGGGUUGUAAAGUACUUUCAGCGGGGAGGCUGUACCCGCAGAAGAAGCACCGGCUAACUCCGUGCCAGCCGCCGCGGUAAUAC
RNAcentral lists this ribosomal RNA (406 nucleotides) under uncultured bacterium. RNAcentral's name for it is "partial 16S ribosomal RNA". It matches the Rfam family "Bacterial small subunit ribosomal RNA", at positions 29 to 526 of the family's 1533-position model. The record is from RNAcentral.